Molecule: non-coding RNA, 4110 nt
Organism: Lolium perenne
Lineage: Eukaryota; Viridiplantae; Streptophyta; Magnoliopsida; Poales; Poaceae
Source: RefSeq, a predicted model, not a curated record
UCUCGGCCUCGGCUACAAAUCCCUGCUGGUGAACCCCGGUAGACCUAGAUCUGUUGUCGACGUCUUCCGAUGACCACAUCCCGAAGAAAUUGCUAUGAGUAACUAACAAAGGUUGGUAAUGUAAUCAAUAUUAAAUCCACCAUAUUUUAAGUCCGUGUCAGCAUGCUGGUUUGAUAUACUCAACUAGCAUGUGUGAAGUGUCUGAUGAUAGUAAAAACAGUGAACUAGUCAUUGAUGUCCUCUGUUUAUAUUACUACUUACAAAAUUAGUGGUUGUAUUGUAUAAGUAUUUUCGGUAUAGUGAACUAGUGAUUGAUGUAUUUUACUUGACUAGUAAUAUCUUGUCUAGUUAUGCUUCUCCUAUAGUGUAUCUCUUAUAUCGGUGUCACUUGAUCUCUCCUUAUGUAUAUAGAACAUGGAAAACAUAAUAUACUUUUAUGCUAGGCCAAAUAGCAAACAAGAAGCAGAAAAUCCGAGGUCUGAAUUAUGUAGGUAAUUUGUUGCUAUUACACAUGCAGAUGCUUUUUUCACUUAUUGUAUGUAUUUGAGUAUGAAUCAGAUGUCUUAGCGACAAAUACAAGAUAGAUUAUAUAUCUUGUUUGAAUUGUCCACCACCAAUCCGAGUUACAAACUGAGUUGUUGUUUGCAUUACUCUUCUACUGUGAUCAUGUACAAGUUGUUGGGAUACUGUCUAUUAUCUAAAAUAUUCCCCAUAUGAAAACACUCUGGUGCAAAAUAGGUUGUAUUCCCUUGCUGUUCUGUAGUCCCCGUAUGUCCAUAAAAUUGAAUAAUCAUGUAGUUCUUCCUAUCAAGGAUUACGAGUCGAGGAGUCGAGCCGAGUCGUUGGGGUACCUACUCAUAGACUAGUCGUGACUAGUCUAGACUAGUGCUCGACUAGUCGAUAUGUACCACAGCAGUAGCUAGUACAAAAUACUAUCGUAUAUAGUAACUAGAUAGGAGAUUUAGUAACUAAAUCGACAUUAGUUCAACACAAGUUACAUAACAUAAUAAUGCUAGAACCUAGAAGUUCAUGGCAUAGGCCUCAAAUUAUCUUGUCUAGAUGAUGAAACAAUGUCUUUGAGCUUCAGCUUCAUCCUCCACGUCUAAAUAUUGCUCCAUAACUCUAAACUUCCUUGUAUGAAGUUGUGGAUUUCAUUCUUAAUUUCCACCAACGCCUAGUCGAAUACCACGACUAGUCUAGACUAGUCCAUAACUAGUCGCUUGACCGCUCGAAUCUUCAAACUAGUCGUGCCGAACAAGCGAGUCGACAGUCAAGUUAUGAUUCAUAGACUAGUCGCACGACUAGCCUAGACUAGUCGUUACUCAUAAUCCAUGGUACCUAUCAUCUUUAAAAACGGAUAUGUGUUAUCAUGCUUUAGACAAUCAUGUUUUCAGAUUUCCACUACUUUGUUGUCAUGUGUUUCACCUUGUGUCCUAUGGAAAUCUAAGGAAUCACCAUUUUCUCUUCUGAAAUUAUGCUCGAGCUAUGUGCAUUUUUUCACACUUAUUUAUCAUAGGUAUGUUUGGAUGAGCGAAAUGUUUCUUUCAAAAGUUUUGUUGUUUGCUCUGAUGAGUUUAUUUUAUAGUCUUCUCUAAUUAUAGUAGUAUUGUUCCGCGUUUCCUCCUGUGUAUGUGUUGUGCAACAGUGAAUUGGUUUCCUUUGCACAUUUGUAGUAGUGCUCUGCAAAGACCAUGCUGAAUUGUUUUGAAUGUGGAACUGGCCUUGUAAAAGCGAUAAGCUGGAUUACUAGAUGUGGCUUUGAGUAGGAGAAAAAUGUCCAGCGAGUAGUGCUACGAAUAUAUUGGAUAGCUGCUUUGGUGUAUUCUAGUUGAGAAUUUUCCAUUGAUAUCAGCAGCAGGUAGUUUUGACAGACACACAGUGGAUUUGUUGUUGUGUGUAUACCACUUACAACUAGAAUUUUCCGUUGAAAGAAACCUUUAUUCUUGCUGAUAUAUUUUUUGCAGAAUCACUUGCUGGUGCUUAUGGUGCUGGUAAUAUACAUAACACCUCCUUGUCAUUGAUAAUCAGGAUUAACUAUGGAUAAAGCAUGAAUGUUUGCGUGUCAUUUUAGGAAAUUUUAUCUGAAUUAUAGUGGAAGAAUGUAGUGCAUGUUUGGGUGUCAUUCUGCUGCUUCAGCUACAAUUUGUAUAUUGGGCUAAUAAGUUAUCUCACUUCUCUUUUGGAAUAUGUAAAUCAAGUUUGAAUACAACAUGCUUGUAUUGCUCAGUAUUUUUUUUACAUGUAGCAGUACUUAAUGCAAUGGCAAGUUUUAUUUUGUAUUGCUGAUUUGACUUUACUAUGGACAUGAUUUAUCUUGUGAUUUGGAUUUAUCUUUGUUUCUUUAGUUUGGUUCAAGGGCUUACUUUCAAUUUGGUUUUCCUAUGAGGUGGAGUAUUGACUCAUCAGCUAUUUUAAAUAUAUAUAUGUGUGUAAAUUUGAUGUGCUUAUAUGAGUGUGACGUUGGUGAACUUGCAGGUGUAGCCGAAUGCACAAAAAUUGUGGAGCGCUGCAGGAAGUACGAAAAGUUAUGGUAGAUGGAAGAAAAGAAAUUUGAGUGUGACCGGCUUCAUCGUACUAAAAUUCCAACUCCUGUCCUAUCAUAAGAAGACCAAGAAGGAGAAAUUGUCAUUCCGCUCAUUUAGAGAUGCAUCUUCCAGGGGCUUCUCAGAGGCACGCCAGGUCGAAUAACUGGCUUCGCUCGAGGAAUAGGUGGUGGUAUGCCUGGAGCUGGAGGUGCUCCUGGUACUAUUGACCUUGACCUCAUGACAACAUUUGGUGACUCUGAGGUCAUGUCGGCUCUUCAAGACGGUAUGGGUUCCCUCAAGUAGUUCCCUUGUUAUUGUUAAUAAUGUGAUGUCCUGGAUGUUGGGUGCCCUCUUUAUAGUUCGAACUAUCCCUGGUCAUGAGCCCCGCUCCACCUGGAGCUGUUGUUGGCGUCUUGUGACGACCAUGUCCUCAAGCAAUUGCUAUGAGUAAUUGAAAAAGGUGUAGCCGAAUCCACAAAAGAUUGUGGAGCUCCACAGGAAGUACAAAAGGUUAUGGUAGACGGAAGAAGAGAAAUUUGAGCAUGACCGCUUCGUCGGCAUGUCGAGCCAAAGGUUAUUUUCGUGUCAAAAUUCCCACUCCUGUUAGGAGCAUUCUAGGUGUACCGUUUUUCAUGGCCAGAUCUGAAUUCAUGUCAUGUGCUUUCAACAACCUAAUUAUAAGAAUGCCAAGAAGAAGCAAUUGUCGAGCCGCUCAUCUAGAGACGCAUCUUCCAGGGGCUUCUCAUGAGGCACGCUGGGUGGAAUGGCUAGCUUCGUUGGAGGAAUGGGUGGUGGUAUGCCUCGGGGAAUGGGUGGUGGUAUGCCUCGGGGAAUGGGUGGUGGUAUGCCUGGAGGGGCUCCCGAUCCCGAUGUUAGCAUUUGGUGACCGUGUGGUCACAUCAGCUCUUCAAGUGGCUACAGUUUCCCUGAAAUAGUUCCUCCGCUUCCUUUAUGCAAUUCCCUUGUUAUUUUAACUAAUAUACUAUGUGCUGGCUGUUGGGUCCCACCUUUAUGCAACUUGGAUGAUAUGUUUGCUACUUGUGCCUUGUUGCUUUUUUAUGCAGCAGAAGCAUACUGCAUAUCCUUUGGGUGCUUGAACAGACGUCGAGUUGUUCGAGGAAAGGAAACCUAAAAUUGAUAUCAUGUAGGUGUGGAUGGGAUAUUUCCACUAAAUACUUGACAGCGGCAGCAAUCCCAGUGACGAAGGAGGUGUCCUUGUUAAACCGGUGGCUUGUGGAGGCGAUGGAGCAGCAGGUUGGCGUGUCGCUUGUGAAGGUGCGAAGUGGUGCUGUACGUUGGAACCGCCUGGCCGACAUGCUUUCUUCUAUGAUAUUUCUUGUAGUUGGUUAGGUCAAAUGCUGGGCUCGAGCAUCUUUUAGUUUUGCCGUUGGAUGUUUGUUUCCUAGAGACAUGAGCUAGCUUAUUGAUGUCGUGGACCUGGUGCGUUGGCUCCACUUUAGGUUUAUAAGCUACAUGUAGAUAUGUUUAUUCUGUGCUUUGGCAAGACAGACUUGUCAUGGCCCAUGAGUUGUAUUGAUACAAAAUUUUAAUUGAAAUACAAGUUCUUGACGGUGUUUCAAGUUAA